Olea europaea var. sylvestris is the source of this 1344-nucleotide long non-coding RNA. RefSeq lists it as uncharacterized. NCBI's taxonomy places the organism in Eukaryota, Viridiplantae, Streptophyta, Magnoliopsida, Lamiales, Oleaceae. The record is from RefSeq and is a predicted model, not a curated record. The transcript has 2 exons.
CGUUUCUCUAAAACCCUAAUAUCCAUUUUUCAACCGUGUCUUUCUACUUCCCAACCAUCCCCUCUCCUCUUCUCAACACACGCACACACAGCCUCAACCACUUCUACCGUCGAGAAUCCUGUUGCCACCGUUGAGGUUUCCCUUCCCAUCGUUGUUGGCACCACUUCCUCCGUCGAGAACCCUAGCAAAUCUGUCCCAUCUCUGGCCGUUGUUGCAAGCAGUUCUUCUGCGACAACCACAGCCUUGACCCACUUUCUUUCCCAAUUAUUGCUUUCUGUUUCCCCUUCCCCAAUUCUCUUGCUCUACUAGAUCUGAUCUCAAAGAAGCUAGAGUUUACUCAAAUAGAGAUGAAGAAGCACUUCUAGCCUUCAAAAACUGAAUCACUUCAGACCCUUAUGGCAUCUUGGCCGAUAACUGGCAGACUACUGCGUCAAUUUGCAACUGGAUUGAUGUUUCUUGCACUGAGCAUAACCCUGUUGAUGAUGAGCCGAAAAUCAUACAGACAACUACACGAGCAAAAAUUCAUUAGGUAUUUCAUGGAGAAGGAUUUCUUACCAAGAAAUUCAAGAAGCAACAAAUGCCUUCAGUGAAAUUAACAUACUUGGAAGUGGAACUUUUGGUUCAGUUUAUGAAGGAACACUUUUUGAUGGAUUGAAUGUUGCAGUAAAAGUAUUCAAUUUCUAGUCAGAACGAGUAACCAAGAGUUUUGAUAUACAGAGUGAAGUAUUGAGCACCAUUCGCCAUAGGAAUUUAAUCAAAACCAUUGGCUGUUGCAGUAACACUGAGGUCAAAGCCUUGAUACUGGAGUAGAUGCCUAAUGGGAGCCUGCAGAAAUGGUUAUAUUCACAAAUAUUUCCUGGACAUGCUAAAAAGAUUAAAUAUAGCAACUGAUGUUGCAUUGGCUUUAGAAUAUCUGCAUCAUAAUGGGACAUUCAGUCAUUCACUGUCCUUAUUGUGAUUUAAAGCCCAGAAAUGUCCUUCUUGAUGAAGAUGUAGUUGGUGCACGUUGCUGAUUUUGGUAUAGCCAAACUCUUCGGUCAAGGGGAGUCAAUGCCUCAAACGAAUAUAUGGCACCAGGUUGUGUUCCUUACUGAGUUUCAGAAUGUUCUGAAUUUAUUUAUAUUCAAAUAAACUUGGGAAUUUUUCAACUGAUUCUCAGCUUUCAAUUCUGUCAACUGUUCUUGUAAAUGUUAAAUGCCAAUGUAGAAAAUGGAUCUAGAAGGAUAUGUACACGAGGAAGAAGCGAAUAGAUGAAAUAUUUGGUGAAAAAAUGAGCUUGAAAAGCUGGGUCAGUUGUAGCCAGUCUUCAAUUGAAAAUAAAAUAACCGAACUUGUGGAUUCCAA